RNAcentral lists this long non-coding RNA (3571 nucleotides) under Nothobranchius furzeri (turquoise killifish). RNAcentral's name for it is "lncRNA (ENSNFUG00015016985.1)". Lineage: Eukaryota; Metazoa; Chordata; Actinopteri; Cyprinodontiformes; Nothobranchiidae. The record is from RNAcentral.
AUGACUCCUCAGCCAUCCUAUCAGCUGUCCCGUUCUCCAGACACAUUGGGAACAGCACCGAGUCCAAUGCAGCCAUUUCCAUUUGCACGUAUUGAGACGAAGCAGCAAGGUUCAUUUGGGCAGCCAGAGUUCGCUCCAACAGUCUCCUCACAACAGGUAGGAUGCAACAUGCCAAUAGAGAAAUCAGAAUUAACAGGGAUUGUGGUAGUCAAAACAUCAGGGAUUACAGUAGUUAUAGCGCUAGUAGUUAAAACAUUAUUUGGAACUGUGGUUACACCAUCAAGGAUUGUAUUUGUCUUAGUUGUGGUCAAAACAUCGCUUGGAAUCGUGGUUGUUACACCGGUUUUAACAACUGCUAAGUCGAAUGCAGGCAAGGAUGCCGACCUAUGUUGCAUCCGACCUGCUGGAUUGUACUUAACUUGAUCAUGGUGUGUUGCCUCGCCGUUGACCAAGUCCUUUGGCUUAUGCUCUUGUGAUGGGUCGAUGAGUUGCUCCUCGGCCAUCAUCUCCAUCUUCACCUCCUCCAGCACAACCAUCAGACCCCCACGUGUUAUCCAAAACAGAACAGAUAUCAGGCUUAGCAUGCCCUUCUUUUCCUCGGCCAUCAUGCCGUUUGGUUAAGUCAGACACAUUACUUCCCUGAGUUUUGUCUUUGACUUUUGUGCAGUGUGUCAGAUGAUGCUACGUCGAUCCUCCUUCGACCUGGACUGCUGUUGGCGUUGCUCGAACCACUUUGUAGGGACCCCCUCACCGCAGUUCGUGCCACCUCCUCCUGAAAACUUUGAUGUACACCUGGUCUCCAGGAACUACCGGCCCGUCUGCGCCUGCGCUAGAGACGAGCUCCUUUCUCUUUUCCUGCAAAUAGAUGGCUUUAUGGAUGCUGGUUAGUUGCUUGAUAUAGCUUUUGAAUUCAAGCUCUAGCUGCUCCAACGAGGGCCCCUUGUGGGGUCUUCUGAGCUGAGGAGUUGGAAUUGGCCUGCCCAGCGCCGGCGCUCCGCACACCACGCACAGCGCGUAGGGCACCACGCCGGGGAAGGGGCACCAAACGCAAGCUUAUGAAAAAAUAAUAUAUAUAUGAUAAAGACAGAUUUCAAUUAGAAGAUGUGCAAAGCAAGUUAACAGCAUGUUUACAGAGAGAAAACAAUACAAAAAGGAAAGGAGAUGGACCGUGUCCACUUUUCACUCUCUGUCCGGACGGGGUUCUUGUAUUGAUGAAAAUGUCCGGCUUUUCAUCCAGGAGCAGGGAUCGAAUUAUGGGGGAGCUGUAUAUCCUACACAUCCAGGGGAGCCGGAAAAAAGUUUUCUACCUAUAUUACAUCAUUUAUGGACUCUUUGGAGCAGAGAGCGACACAGCGCUGCGUUGUUGCGCAGCGCUCCAGGCUGCUGCUUCCAGCGCAUGGUCCAUUCUCAAAGUGGCGCAACCAAAAAACUAUAAUUAACACACGAUCGUUCAUGUCCGCUCAUGUUCUCUACUUUCUGUCUUAUUUGUGCCUGGCGCUCUGCUACUGCGGAGCUCAUCACCUGCACUGCGGGGAUUUCACCUCACUGACGCAGCAUCGAAUGGCGCACUCCGCUUUGCGGUCAGGAGAUCCCUUUGAUCUGCUCAGAAGUAACUGAUGAGGUGAAAAAGUAAGAAUCCAGGCAGCAGAUUUUCUGGAGAGUUUAGAGGAGAUGCAGGAAGAUGAGAGACAGACAGGACAGGAAAAUAGUUCAAUAAAAACAAGAAAACAAAACAAAGUGUUGAAAAGUAAAGUGUAGGUAGAUUUAUCUCCACUACGUGUUUCUACCUGUAUAAAACAAUAAGUUACACACAUGCAAUAUUUAUAUAUCUGAUACAAUUCAGAUCACCUUCAAAACUCAGUCACACACCCAGGGCCGUUUCAAGACAUUUUGGGGGCCAAGGCAAAAUGACCCCCCCCCCACUGCUUUGUGAAUAAAACCAGGGAGCCAACUUCCUGUCCCCAAUUACCUUCUUUUUUAAAGGGGCAACAUAAUCUAAUGCCACGCGUAAAAAGGAAGUAACAUUAUGAACUAAAGCAUCAUUAUGUGAAGGGCUAGAAAUAAAAAUAUUGCCCUCUGCUACAUUCCUCUGAGAUGCUGAGGACAGUAAAGAUGGAACAGUUGAUUUAAAAGAUGCAACUGCAUUGUCAGAUAGAGACAGACUACAGUGAAAUUUACUUUCAUGUCUCGAGAACUCAGUUAUAAAAAAAACUCAAAGGUUAUCAAAAAGUGGUCCAAGAGGACUGGAUUAUGUGGAAAUAUUGUUAUUUCCUCACACUCUAUGCCAUAAGUCAGCACAAGGUCUAAUGUAUGAUGGCAGGAGUGGGUGGAGCUAUGUAUUCUUUGAGUAAAACCCAUUGAGUUUAAAGAUAUUACUAAAGGCUACAUUGAGGCUAUCAUUUUCAAUGUACACAUGAAUGUUAAAAUCCCCCACUACAAUGACCUUAUCAGUAUUUAGCACCAAAUCCGAUAAAAAAUCAGAGAUCUGAUCCACAAACUCAGAGUAAGGGCCAGGUGGAUGAUACAAAACUACAAACUAGAGUGGUUUUACAGUUUUGCAAUCUGGAUUAGGAAAACUAAGAAUAAGAUGCUCAAAAGAACUGUAACUAUUAAUUGGUAUGGGACUGAUUAAUAGCUCUGAAUGAAAAAUGGUUGCUACUCCUGCUCCUCACCCUGUACUUCGAGCAAUAUGAUGAUUUAAAUAAUUAGAAGGAGUCGACUCAUUUAAACUAACAUAGUCCUCUUGCUGCAUCCAGGAUUCUGUGAGAGAGAGCAAGGACAUCUGAUUAUCACAAAUCAAGUCAUUAACUAAUAAAGUCUUAGAAAAAUAGACAGCCAGGAAACAGCAUUUGUUGUAUUUUUCAAACAGGAAGUGGGGGUGGAGUCAGACACUGGUAGGUGGUGACUUGCUCUUUAAUGAAACCGGCUUGUUGUUCAGAUGUAACUCUGACAAAGACACAUCCAGUGAUGAAACGUUAGCUUCUUUUUUUACUUGCACUGAAUAAACCUUUGCUCACCUGCGUUCCAGCCUUCCUGUUUUUGAUUCUUAGUGUCCAUCGGCUGUGCAGCACCAUUUUCUGAGUGUGUGAUGCACAGACUCAGUAGCGGUUUUAGGCACGGGCAGACAGGGCAGUUGCCCGGGGCGGCAUUUUUUCAUGACACAAAAGGGGCGCACAAGCGCGGAGUAAAAAAAAAAAGGAAAUCUGCGCCGCACCGAGGUUUUCUAUUAUCUGUCAUAUGACAGUGUCUGGAUUGGAAACAGCAAGUUGGCGCCCCCUGCAGCUGCAGGCGCUCCUGCUGACUGAGAACGUUCACGUGCACCGUGUGUCUAUGAAGAACAGGAAGGGGAGGGGUGCGGCGGGGGAAUUCACCUCUGCGUCUUUCCCAAAUGAAAUGAGCGUGCAGGGGCUGAAUCAACUGUAUUAACAUGGCUAAAGUCAAUCACAUCUUAACGUUCUUCCAUAUUUCAUUCAUAAUAUCAUAAACACAGGCCUAUCAUUCUUUCAGGUUUCUCUGAAUUGUGUGAAAUGGCCGAAUAAAAAAAGGAAAAACAAAACGAUUUUGUGGUCAC